RNAcentral lists this transfer RNA (75 nucleotides) under Trueperaceae bacterium. RNAcentral describes it as "tRNA-Glu". It matches the Rfam family "tRNA". Rfam says of the family: Transfer RNA (tRNA) molecules are approximately 80 nucleotides in length. Their secondary structure includes four short double-helical elements and three loops (D, anti-codon, and T loops). The record is from RNAcentral. Lineage: Bacteria; Thermotogati; Deinococcota; Deinococci; Trueperales; Trueperaceae.
GGCCCCUUCGACUAGCGGUCAGGUCACCGCUCUUUCACAGCGGCGGCACGGGUUCGAGUCCCGUAGGGGUCACCA